Molecule: unclassified non-coding RNA, 1705 nt
Filed under: Acer opalus subsp. obtusatum
Lineage: Eukaryota; Viridiplantae; Streptophyta; Magnoliopsida; Sapindales; Sapindaceae
Description: external transcribed spacer
Source: RNAcentral
AGGUGUCCGCUGCGAAAUGGGAUGCCCAGUGCCUAUGCCAAGCACUCCCCCCCACCCAUCAAGGAGGGAUGGGUGCAUGGCAUGGGCACUACCUCCCGUCGUUGGGUGGCGACGGGGGGAUGUCGGUCCGGUGGUCUCCGACCGCCGUUCCGACCGUCGGUCCGGUGAAAACGGUCAGGUUGGCUAGUAGGGCUGCGAUGCUAUUUUUUGAGAGGAGAGGGACGGCACACCUCGGAUUUCGGUCUUUCCAACGUAUUCGGAGGGCAUUCGUGACCAUGGCUUCGGCUUUGGGACGAGCGAGCGAACGGAGAUUACUGCGGUCGGGUCAAGAUUUGAGGUUUAACCUCUCGGGGGAGCGCAGAACUGUCUCUAUUUUCUCGUCUGGCCGUUGAUGGAGAUAAUUCAUUAUUCUCCAUCCUGUCCCGUCGGAAAUUUUUAAAACUUGGUCUGGUGGGCUAGUGGUGCUGUGUUGAUCUUUCUCGAGGGGAGAGGGACGGUUCAUCUCGGAUCUCGAUCUUUCCAACGUGUUCGAAGGGCAUUCGUGACCAUGGCUUCGGCUUUGGGACGAGCGAGCGAACGGAGAAUACCGCGGUCGGGUCAAGAUUUGAGUUUUAACCUCUCGGGGGAGCGCAACACUGUCUCUACUUUCUCGUUUGGCCGUCGAUGGAGAUAUUUCACUCUUCUCCAUCCUGUCCCGUCGGAAAUUUUUAAAACUUGGUCUGGUGGGCUAGUGGUGCUGUGUUGAUCUUUCUCGAGGGGAGAGGGACGGUUCAUCUCGGAUCUCGAUCUUUCCAACGUGUUCGAAGGGCAUUCGUGACCAUGGCUUCGGCUUGUGCUAACUUGAUGCAUCAUAAGGUUUGUUGCGGUGGGUUGGGCGUAAUGGAGAGUCGUUGGUUUUUUAAAAUGCUUUCCAAAUGUCCCUUAAAGGUUUUCGUCCCUCGGAUUGAGAUUAUUCAUUACGCUCCAUAUCAAAACAUUCCGAAAAAAUGCGGAAGAACUAGCAUGCUUCGGCUUGUGCUAACUUGAUGCAUCAUAAGGUUUGUUGCGGUGGGUUGGGCGUAAUGGAGAAUCGUUGGUUUCUUAAAAUGCUUUCCAAAUGUCCCUUAAAGGUUUUCGUCCCUCGGAUUGUGUGUUUCUUCACGUGAAGCGGUGCUGGUGUUGUCUUGCUUGAUGUUUCCACAUGCUCAGCGGUUCUAGUAACCCUUGGGUUGUGGUUCGUUUGGUUGGGUCAUCAUCAGACGUACGCAACUCAUGUGUGAGUGGUGGUCGGAUGGCAUGGGUUUGCAAGCUCCUUGCUCAGCGCAACGAAUUGUAAGCCCUCCAUCCUUUUCACAGUCUUCCCUCAAGCAUGGUCAUUUGCCUUGUGGGUAAGAUCGGUAUCCUGUGUUUUUUACCAAUUGAAUGGAAUUCGAUUGUUUUCGUUUCCUUAUUCGCCCGGUUCCCUUAGGGGUGUUGGGUGGACGAUAGGCUGACCCCGUGUUCCAGGUACAUCUCGCAUUUCUGUGUGGUUACCAUGGCCCAUGGGGUUAUGCUUGUUCUCUCGGAUGCGGACCGUUAGUUGUGGGCGAGGGGUUACGACCUCCAUUCGUCCAAGCUAUAUUAUGCAUUUGUCAAUCGACACGAACGACUGCCGCACUCGUCUUGGCUUUUUACAGUCGAAUGGCUGUACAAUGUCCAUGCGAGUGUCGGUGUCGUGAAGGAAUGC